This 7245-nucleotide long non-coding RNA is filed under the name Homo sapiens (human). Its description in RNAcentral is "non-protein coding lnc-PQLC1-104:4". Lineage: Eukaryota; Metazoa; Chordata; Mammalia; Primates; Hominidae. The record is from RNAcentral.
GUACGUGCGCGUGUAAAUACGAGCGCCGCGCGGGGCCGGAGCCGGCUCCGUCCUGGGACCAACCCUGCGUGCCGGCCGUGAAGAACUGCGUUCCUGAGCCCUACCUACUUUUCCUCGGAGCGCCGGCACCGUGGAGCAGCGGCAUGCAACGCGGGCCGCUGUCGCCCAGUCCCAGUGACGGUCUUGGCGCGCUCGGAACUACGUAUCCCGGCGUGCACCGCGGACAGAGCAUGGCGGGACUACGAGUCCCAGCGUUCAACGCAGGCCUGCGUGCCAUUACCCCAUCACGCGCUGAGACCCAGCAUCCCGAGACUACGAGUUCCGGCAUGCACCGCGAGCCGCUCUCCUCCACUCCCAUCGCGCACUGUGAGUCGCAACGUCGCGGGACUACGGGUCCCGGCAUGCCUUGCGCGCCGCGGGCCCAGAGACGUGAGGCUGUCGGCGUCCUGGUGGCCCCGCCUCGUGUCCCCCCCCGGACCCCACGCCGCGGGAGCUUGGGGGUUGCGGUCUUCUCUUCCUCCGACCUCACCUUCGAUGCGGAAGCGCAGGGGCAGGUGCGCCGCCCUCGGCCCGCGCAGGCGGUGGGCCCGUCUGGGGCAAGGCGCCCGGAAGCGCCUGGUUGGUUCAGAAAAUCGGACCGCAGCGGGAGGGCGGGCACCGGCGCGUGGUCUCAGUGGCCCCAGGCGAACCCUGAUGAGCAGCAGCCGCAAGUGGCUUACUAAAGGAGCCACUUUCUACGUUUGUCUGGAAUUUACGUGAAUUAAGCUGGCGGGCGGGCGGCCAGGCCUGUAGUCUCAGCACUUUGGGAGGCUCAGCACUUCGGGAGGCUGUGGCGGGCGGAUCACCUGAGCCUGGGAGUUGGAGACCAGCCUGCGCAACGUAGCAAGACCCUAUCUCUAAAACAGAUUCAUUAAUACUUAGCCAGGCGCGGUGGCUGAGGUCCCAGCUACUCGGCAGGCCCAGGCUGGCCUGAGCCAGACCGCUCUGGACUGUUUUAAUUUUUUCAGCCUUAAUACCUGCCAGAAUUUUUUUUUUACUAUGUAUCUUUGUCCUUACGUAUAUAAAUUUUAUAUACAAUUGAGAUUAUCCUGUAUUUGCUUUUCCCCCCUCACUUUUAUAUGGUGACUUUUCUCAUGUUAGGCUGAAUACUAACAUUUUGGAAACUGUCGGCCUGAAAACGAGCGGAGACACAGUUUCUCUAAGUAGAGAGUUUAUUUGGGCCACACUUGAGCACAAAUUCAAGGCGCCCUGAAUGUGUACUCCGAUUAGCAGUUAACAGUGGAUUUUAAAGGCAAAAAAGGGGGCCAGGGAGUGGACUAAUAGGAACUUGUUUGUGAGGAAUUCUCACUGGUUUACAGAAAUAACAUUGAUUAGUGACUGACUAUAUGUUGUUCAGCUAUUGAGUGUGGGUAUAGUGUCCAUUGUGGCGUCAUUAGGUUAAUUUAUAGCUGUUUGUGGCGCUGUUGCCACCAGUAGCAGUUUAAAGAGGUGAACACAGGUCAAGGGGUAGUAGGGCGCGAUUGUCGCCUCAUUUGAAUGUCUCUCUCGGCCUGAUAAUUAAAAGAACUCGCGUUCCUCAGAUAAAAAUUCUCUUUUCUCAAAACCAUUUAAAUGUGGUAAUUAGAAUGGCCCAGAAGGGGCACAGUGCCUUUUAGCCCUCGCCAUUACUUGCUCUUAGGAGUGCAUUUUUUGUAGCUGUGGGUUUUUGACUAUCUCUGCUGCUUUCUCCAGCCCCUACCCUCGUGACUACAAGGGAAAACGUGCGGUGCUCACGAGAGAGCCUUUAUGGGAUUUUUAAAAAAUGGGGAUUGUGGGAAAAUGGCUCCAGCAGUCACAGUUUUUCAGUUUCUCACAAUCCCAUAAAAACAGAGCAACCAGGUAACAAAACUAAAGCAUGGGCAACAUUUACAGACCACUGGAUGGUGAAGAAUUCCCAUGAACCCCUGGUUCACACUGUAAGGACACACUACUCAGCAUGGGCAACAUUUACAGACUACUGGAUGGUGAAGAAUUCCCAUGAACCCCUGGUUCACACUGUAAGGACAGACUACUCAGCAUGGGCAACAUUUACAGACCACUGGAUGAUGAAGAAUUCCCAUGAACUCCUGGUUCCAACUGUAAGGACACACUACUCAGCUGUAGCCUGAAGCCGCCUCCUUACAUACUGAAAGUGACGUGUGCAUAUUCCACUUGGGGCCUGGGGCAACACCCUCAUCAAACUGAUAUUCCUGCAGCAAAAUACAAGCAGGACGAAAAGGAUCAUGGGUCGUCUCGUGCCAAAUCAGGUUAGACUUUCCGCCAAAUGAAGUACACAAAACUUUCCAUGUUUAGGACUAUGAAUUUGGGCCAGGCACUGUGACUCAUGCCUGUAAUCCCAGCACUUUGAGAGGCUGAGACAGGUGGAUCACUUGAGCCCGGGAGUUCAAGACCAACCUGGGCAACAUAGUGAGACCUCAUUUCUACAAAAAAUUAGCUGAGUGUGGUGGUGUGCACCUGUCUGGAGUCCCAGCUACUCAGGAGGCUGAGGUGGGAGGAUCCAUUGAGCCUAGGAGGUCAAGGCUGCAGUGAGCUGUGAUUGCACCACUGUCCUCCAGUCUGAGCAACAGAGCGAGACCCUGUCUUAAAAAAAAUGGAUACUGGGGCCACAGAUAAGAGGUAUGGGACUGUAAUGCAGUCACCUUUACGUAGUGGCUCAGGGGAAAAGGAGGAAUCCCAGUCCCCAGAAUUCUAGUUUUAUCUACGUCACGGGUGGUUUUGGUGAAACCUGGAAGGAUUCUGUGGUCACUUUUCCUCACUGAUGUAUGUUUCCUCCAAACUCAACUGUGUCAUUUGAUUAGCAUGCAAGGGUCUGUGCUAGCAAGGCCAGAACAAAAGGAGGUUAAGGGGAAGGACAGCAGUUGUAGGAAUAGAAUAUGGCCUUGGGGAGUCCAAGAUCUCCUGGGCCUGGGUAUCUGUGUGUGAACAUCAUCUGCACGUAUGUGACUAUGCUUGGGGCCCUUUAACUGUUGCACAGGCCAACAUGUGGCCCCCAAGACCCUUAUCUGACACCUUAUGUGAAAACUCAGUGGAUUAAAGACUAAACAAGAAAUAAAGGUAUACAAUUUCUAGAAGAAAACGGGAAAAAUUUAUGACAUUGGAUUUAGCAGUGAUUUAUUGGAUAUGACACCAAAGACACGGGCAACAAAAGUAAAACUAAGACGACAUCAGGCUUAGAAACUUCUGUGCAUCGAAGGACACAAUCAACCUUUCCCUUCUGUGCAGGGAAAAGGUAACCUGUGGAAUGUGAGAAAAUAUCUGCAAAUCAUAUAUCUGAUAAGGGGUUAAUAUCUGGAAUAUAUAGACAACCACCACUCAACAGUAAAACAAGUCACCUCAUUUAAAAAUGAGCAAGGGACUUCAACAGACACUUCUCUGAAGAGGAUAUACAGUCAGCACUCUAUCGAUGGGUUUUGCAUCCCUGGAUGUAACCAGCCAGGGAUUGAAAAUAUUUUUAUUAAAAAAAUGUGCCCAUGCUGAACAUGUACAGACUUUCCUUCUCAUUGUUCUCUAAACAAUAUAGUGUAACAACUAUUUACAUAGCAUUUACUUUGCAUUAGCUAUUAUAAGUAAUCUAGUGACGAUUUAAAGGAUGCAGGAGGGUGUGCAUAGGUUACAGGCAAAUACUCCCAACAUCCUUAGAUUUUGGUCCGUGGGAGGUUCUGGAACCAGUCCCCCACAGAUACCAAGGGACAGUCGUAUUUACAGAUGACCAGUAGGCACAUGAAAAGAUGCUCAAAAUCACUGACCAUUAGAGAAAUGCGAACCACAGUCACAAUGAGAUGAUCACUCCAUACUCAUGAGGAUGGCUAUGAUGAAAAACAGCAUGGAGUUAGGAUGGCUGUGAUGAAAACAGCAUGGAGGUUUUCCUCAGAGUUAGCAUGUGAUCCAGGAAUCCCACCUGUACGUAUUUACCCAAAGAAUUGAAAGCAAAGUCUAAAGAGCCACUUGCACACCAUGUUCACAGCUGCACUGUUCACAGUAGCCAAGAGGCAGAAACAACAUAGCGUCAAUCAACAGAUGAAUGGACAAGCCAGGUGGCCUGUGAGAUGGGAUAUUAUUAAGCCUUAAAAAGGAAUGAAGGCCAGGCACAGUGUCUCAUGCCUGUAAUCCCAGCACUUUGGGAGGCCGAGGUGGGUGGAUCACGAGGUCAGGAGAUCGAGACCAUCCUGGCUAACAUGGUGAAACCCCAUCUCUACUAAAAAUACAAAGAAUUAGCCGGGUGUGGUGGUGGGCACCUGUAGUCCCAGCUACUCCGGAGGCUGAGGCAGGAGAAUGGUGUGAACUGGGAGGCGGAGCUUGCGGUGAGCCGAGAUCGCGCCACUGCACUCCAGCCUUGGCGACAGAGCAAGACUCCAUCUCCAAAAAAAAAAAGGAAUGAAAUUCUGACCCAUGCUACAACAUGGGUGAACCUUGAAGAAACUAUGCCAAGUGAAAUAAGCCAGCUGCGAAAAGGCAAAUACUGUCUUUUUUUUUUUUUCUUUUGAGACAGAGUCUUGCUCUGUUGCCAAGCUGGAGUGCAGUGGCAUGAUCUUGGCUGUGCAAUACCGUCUUAUUCCCCUUCUGUGAGAUGCCUAAAGUCAAAUUUAUAGAAACAGAAAACAAAAUGGUAGUUACCAGGGCUGGGGGCAGGGUGGGCAGUUGUUUGAUGGGUACAGAGUUUUAGUUUUGCAAGAUAAAAAAAAUUCAGACCAAUAUGAAUAAACAAUGCUACUAAAGUGUACACUUAAAAACAGUUAAUAUGGUAAAUUUUAUGUAUUUUUUAACCACAAUUAAAAUGUAUUAUUAUUUUUUAUUGAGAUGGAAUCUUGCUCUGUUGCCCAGGGUGGAGUGCGGUGGUGCAAUCUCGGCUCACUGCAACCCCCAUCUCUCGGGUUCAAGCAGUUCUCCUGCCUCAGCCUCCUGAAUAGAUGGGACUACGGGCACCCACCACCAUGCCCGGCUAAUUUUUGUAUUUUCAGUAGAGAUGGGAUUUCACCAUGUUGGCCAGGCUGGUCUCAAACUCCUGGGUUCAAGUGAUCCACGCAUCUUGGCCUCCCAAAGUGCUGGGAUAACAGGCGUGAGCCACCACACCCGGCCUGGAGUUAACAUUUAAAAAGUGUAAGAGGCCUCUACUGGAAUUAGAUGAUUAUUUUUCAGACUUAUUUUUAGAGAUCACUUUGCAGAGUUCUGCUUAAUUUGUGGCAUAAUAGAAUAAAUAUUCCGAUUUCUGAACUAAAUAAUCUGAGAAUGUACUCAUUUCAUAAUGUGAACCAGAAUUGCUUGAGAAGCACAGAGGUAAUGGGAAUUAAGUACAUUUAAAAAAGCAAAUUCCAGGUCUAUUUAGAUGCUCUUUAAAGACCAUUGCCUGUGACACCUGUUUCUAAAAGUUAAUAAUCUCUAGGCCAAAAAAGAAAAGAAAAUGAAAUGUUAACCAGUUUUUACUCCCCUUGAUGACUUUCUUUUUUCCUUUUUUUACUUUCCUUUGUGAUUUCUUUGUGAGUUCUUCCUAACUUCCCAUUCAGGCCAAAAUCAUGAACAGCUUUAGAUGUUGGUUACACUGUGAAUCUUAACACUGAGAACCCACUUACCUUGCUAAGCAUCUCUGCAGAGGCAAGGAUGGUGCUUAUUGUCGGGGGCAGAUGACACUUUGCCAGCUGCUGUACCAAGUGCAUUGCAGAGCCUGGUCUCAUUUCAUCUGCACCAUGACUCACUGAGGUAGCUACGGUUUCCAGCUUACAGAUAAGAGAGGAAAGCGAGGCCUGCGGAGGUUUGGGUGCUCAGCUGCACAGCCAGGAGCGGGCAGGACUGGCAUCUGGAAGCCAGGUGGCUGACUGCAGACCCUGCUCCCGUUACCUCCGCUAGACGUCUUUGUGAUCUCAGCUGAUGAAGGGGCCGUACUCCAGGGCCGUCAAAACGAAACGGGACAGCUUUUUCGAUAAAUACAAUUUAUCUGAAUAAUGUAGGAAAUACAGAAUAUAGUUGAUGUUUUGUUUGGUGUUUUAUUUUUGCCCUCCUUACAAGAGGACUGGCAGGAAGGGGACGGAGGCCGCUAGACUGGUCUGACUUCAGGGGCAGGUGAGAAUGAUGCCUUGGGCUGGGCUCACCGUGCCUAAGUGUGCAGUACAGAGAAGGCAAGGCUCUAGGGAGGUGAGGGCAGGCUGGCGGGUGGACGCAGCUCCCUGCUUCCUGCGUUUCACAGAGCCCAGCUGGCCCCUGGUCCUGAUGCCAUUUGAAGGAAAAUGUCAGGAGCCAGAUCAGGGCAGCAAGGAGUGGAGGCUCCUUUCAUUCCUCCAUACCCACUAGCUGUCACAUAAGGCAACAGUUCUGCCCCCUCAGGGAGCUGCCUCACUCAGGCUCACGUUCAGGUUCCGAGCUUUGAACUUCAGUCAGUGUGCCAGCUGUCUGCUGAAUUUCAGUCUCAACAUACGAGGAAUGGAAGGAAAUUUCUUUAGCUUGAUAAACAGCCUCUACAAAAAACCUGUAGCUGACAUCAGACUCAAUGCUUGAAGAUGGGAGGCCUUCGCCUAAAAUCAGGAAUAAAACAAGAGCGGCUUGCCCCUUCUAGGUAAUUGUGUACAGAAGGCUCUAGCCAGGGCAGUUAGUCAAGAAAAAAAGCAUCCAAUUCAAAAGAAAGGUAUAAAACAAUCUCUAGAGAUUGUUGAAGAUGGCUUAAUCUUUUAUGUAAAAAAAGCCUAUGGCAGGGCACAAUGGCUCACACCUAUGAUCCCAGUGCUUUGGGAGGCCAAGGUGAGAGGACUGCUUGAGCCCAGGAGUUCAAGGCCAGCCAGGGCAACACAGUGAGACCCCAUCUCUACAAAACAAACAAACAAACAACCUAUGGAAUCUUUUUUUUUUGAGACGAGUUUUGCUCUUGUUACCCAGGCUGGAGUGCAGUGGCGCGUUCUCAGCUCACUGUAACCUCUACCUCCUGGGUUCAAGCAAUUCUCCUGCCUCAGCCUCCCGAGUAGCUGGGAUUACAGGCACCCGCCACCACACCUGGCUAAUUUUUGUAUUUUUGGUAGAGACAGGGUUUCACCAUGUUGGCCAGGCUGGUCUGCAACUCCUGACCUCAGGUGAUCUGCCCACCUUGGCCUCCCAAAGUGCUGGGAUUACAGGCAUGAGCCACCGCGCCCGGCUGGAAUUCAUUUUAAAAACCUUAGAAAAACCAUGUUUAGCAAUGUUGCAGGAUAUAAAUUGUGUUUCUAUAUACCAGCAAUGAGAAAGCCA